UUUGGACUACGAUAUUGACAUGAAGACAUUUAUCGUAAUGCCAAAUUUUAUGUAGUAAUGCCAAAUAUUAUGACAUGGAUGUCCUAUCGAUUAUGCUAUAUAUACAUGGAUGUGCUAUGGAUUAUGCUAUAUAUACAUGGAUGUGCUAUAUGCUGUAUGGAUUAUGGAUGUGUUAUAUGCUGUAUGGAUUAAGGAUGUUAUAUAUAUGAUGUAUGGAUUAAGGAUGUUAUAUAUACGAUGUAUGGAUUAUGGAUGUGUUAUAU
RNAcentral lists this long non-coding RNA (263 nucleotides) under Hordeum vulgare. RNAcentral describes it as "long non-coding RNA (HVUL_LNC021371)". Lineage: Eukaryota; Viridiplantae; Streptophyta; Magnoliopsida; Poales; Poaceae. The record is from RNAcentral.